UUGGGAUCAUGGCGGAGAAUCAC
RNAcentral lists this non-coding RNA (23 nucleotides) under Cricetulus griseus (Chinese hamster). Lineage: Eukaryota; Metazoa; Chordata; Mammalia; Rodentia; Cricetidae. The record is from RNAcentral.